CAAUAGCGUAUAUUAAAGUUGCUGCGGUUAAAAAGCUCGUAGUUGGAUUUCUGCUGAAGGCAGCCGGUCCAUGUUCGACAUGCGCAUCUGGAUUGACUUCGGCAUCCUCUCAGAUAACGAUUCUGUGCUUGAUUGCAUGGAGCGGAGUUUGAGACUUUUACUUUGAGGAAAAUAGAGUGUUCACGGCAGGCAAUCGCCCUGAAUAUAUUAGCAUGGAAUAAUAAAAUAGGAUCUUGGUUCUAUUUUGUUGGUUUCUAGAACGAAGAUAAUGAUUAAUAGGGACAAUUGGGGGCAUUCGUAUUAACGCGUCAGAGGUGGAAUUCUUGGAUUGCGUUACGACGAACUACUGCGAAAGCAUUUGCCAAGGAUGUUUUCAUUGA
Molecule: ribosomal RNA, 380 nt
Filed under: uncultured eukaryote
Lineage: Eukaryota
Description: partial 18S ribosomal RNA
Rfam family: Eukaryotic small subunit ribosomal RNA
Source: RNAcentral